CAUAAUGGCGGGUCGUUUGCGCGCUAAGGUGUGACUGCUGUUCCUGUUUGGCAAUUACGUUCAGUGAUUCUAAUUUCGUGCACAAUGGACCUUUGAUGGCAUACUGCGGAAAAGGGCAAUAGCAAUUCCGCAAGAGCAGUAAUUGAUUUCGGUUGAUUGCUUUUUUCAGGCGGUUCCGUUGAAAAAUUUAAGUUUAAAAAUAGUUGCCGCUAAGCAGUGUAGUGAACUUUAAUGUAAAACGCUUUGGGCGUCUAAAGGUGGUUCACUUAAAAUUGACAAAACAGCAAUUUCAUCAAUAUACAGCCACCUUGAAGGAUUUGCUCCGGAUAGCAAUGACCUAAAUCCUCGACCAAAGUAAAUCGACAAACACUAUUCACACCUUUGGCCAAACAAGCAGGCGUCAAUGUGAAAGAUAUCAUCACCAUCUCCCCCGCACCGGGCGGCCCACGGCGGCAAUGCGUGUUUGAGCGUGUUUAUUUUCAUACUCAACCGGAUACUACACCGAUCCGAAAG
This is a long non-coding RNA of Anopheles merus, 513 nucleotides long. RefSeq lists it as uncharacterized. The transcript has 3 exons. NCBI's taxonomy places the organism in Eukaryota, Metazoa, Arthropoda, Insecta, Diptera, Culicidae. The record is from RefSeq and is a predicted model, not a curated record.